RNAcentral lists this ribosomal RNA (425 nucleotides) under uncultured bacterium. Its description in RNAcentral is "partial 16S ribosomal RNA". It matches the Rfam family "Bacterial small subunit ribosomal RNA", at positions 354 to 796 of the family's 1533-position model. The record is from RNAcentral.
GUGGGGAAUAUUGGACAAUGGGCGCAAGCCUGAUCCAGCCAUGCCGCGUGAGUGAUGAAGGCCUUAGGGUUGUAAAGCUCUUUCACCGAUGAAGAUAAUGACGGUAGUCGGAGAAGAAGCCCCGGCUAACUUCGUGCCAGCAGCCGCGGUAAUACGAAGGGGGCUAGCGUUGUUCGGAUUUACUGGGCGUAAAGCGCACGUAGGCGGAUCGUUAAGUCGGGGGUGAAAUCCUGGAGCUCAACUCCAGAACUGCCUUCGAUACUGGCGAUCUUGAGUCCGGAAGAGGUGAGUGGAACUCCUAGUGUAGAGGUGGAAUUCGUAGAUAUUAGGAAGAACACCAGUGGCGAAGGCGGCUCACUGGUCCGGUACUGACGCUGAGGUGCGAAAGCGUGGGGAGCAAACAGGAUUAGAAACCCCUGUAGUCC